This 495-nucleotide ribosomal RNA is filed under the name uncultured bacterium. Its description in RNAcentral is "partial 16S ribosomal RNA". It matches the Rfam family "Bacterial small subunit ribosomal RNA", at positions 28 to 507 of the family's 1533-position model. The record is from RNAcentral.
GACGAACGCUGGCGGCGUGCCUAAUACAUGCAAGUAGAACGCUGAAGGAGGAGCUUGCUUCUCUGGAUGAGUUGCGAACGGGUGAGUAACGCGUAGGUAACCUGCCUGGUAGCGGGGGAUAACUAUUGGAAACGAUAGCUAAUACCGCAUAAUAGUAGAUGUUGCAUGACAUUUGCUUAAAAGGUGCAAUUGCAUCACUACCAGAUGGACCUGCGUUGUAUUAGCUAGUUGGUGGGGUAAUGGCUCACCAAGGCGACGAUACAUAGCCGACCUGAGAGGGUGAUCGGCCACACUGGGACUGAGACACGGCCCAGACUCCUACGGGAGGCAGCAGUAGGGAAUCUUCGGCAAUGGACGGAAGUCUGACCGAGCAACGCCGCGUGAGUGAAGAAGGUUUUCGGAUCGUAAAGCUCUGUUGUAAGAGAAGAACGAGUGUGAGAGUGGAAAGUUCACACUGUGACGGUAUCUUACCAGAAAGGGACGGCUAACUACGUG